AGAAAUUUACGCUAAUACCGCAUACGAUCUAAGGAUGAAAGCGGGGGAUUCGCAAGAACCUCGCGCGAUUGGAGCGGCUGAUAUCAGAUUAGGUUGUUGGUGAGGUAAAGGCUCACCAAGCCGACGAUCUGUAGCUGGUCUGAGAGGACGACCAGCCACACUGGGACUGAGACACGGCCCAGACUCCUACGGGAGGCAGCAGUGGGAAUUUUGGACAAUGGGCACAAGCCUGAUCCAGCAAUGCCGCGUGCAGGAUGAAGGCCUUCGGGUUGUAAACUGCUUUGUACGGAACGAAACGGUGAGCUCUAAUACAGUUUGCUAAUGACGGUACCGUAAGAAUAAGCACCGGCUAACUACGUG
This 360-nucleotide ribosomal RNA is filed under the name uncultured bacterium. Its description in RNAcentral is "bacterial SSU rRNA". It matches the Rfam family "Bacterial small subunit ribosomal RNA", at positions 152 to 507 of the family's 1533-position model. The record is from RNAcentral.